CGCCGCCGAACCGUGCAAUGAAACCAAGGCUGCCGCUUCCUGCCCUAGGCGCCGGCGCCCUCCAGCUCGAACAGCGCCGCCGGCCUCCGAUGGGCGAUAGGCCCUUUCGCCGCGCCGCUGCCCCUUUCGUGGCGCCGAUGGGCUGGCGGCGCCGGCGGCGAUUCCUGGCGUCCGCAGCGAUUCCUGGCGUCCGCGGCGAUUCCCAUCGCCGUGCCGGCCCCCCAUCGUUGAGCCGGUUCCCCAUCGUCGAGCAGGGGCAAUUCCUGGCGCCCGCAGCGUCAUCGACUGCAGGUAGGUCUGCAGGCAGCAGGAUUUAUUUGUCAGAAACGAUUUCAUCUGUCGUCAGUAUGUCACUCGAUCAGUACUAUAUACCAAUGCAAAUCAAUCGAUGCGAUAUUAUUCAGGAAAAGCUAGCUAAGAAUGCAAUUCACAUGUAUCCCUACUACCUGCAUGUUUCCGAUGAGAUGUGAGAAGAAGACAAGGCCCAUGAUGCAGAUGAGAAUGCAGAAGACAGUCUCCCCAUUGUAGGUUGAAAUGCGAAGACAGGCAGCAUCCGACUUGGGAGUGAGAACAAGGCAUCUUCAUUGCUCUGUGCCAGCAGCAGCAGCAGCACGUGGAACGGCCAAUCCAACAGAUAAGAUAGACCACCAGGAGCAUGAUCAUGGCCAUGAACAGAGGAAGAUGAACAGGAGGGAAGAAUUGAUGAGAUUGAAUUAUGUACUAAAAUGAUUGACAAGUUGUUUGUACAUUCCGUCAAUUUGUACAAAAAAGAAUUGAUGAGAUUGAAUUGUAUUCUGUCAUUUUAAAUGAUUUAGAUUGAA
Long non-coding RNA from Panicum virgatum (switchgrass), 821 nucleotides. RefSeq lists it as uncharacterized. The transcript has 2 exons. Lineage: Eukaryota; Viridiplantae; Streptophyta; Magnoliopsida; Poales; Poaceae. The record is from RefSeq and is a predicted model, not a curated record.